UCCCACACCUUGUGCGAUCGGCGACGAGUGGCCGACACGAAAAGGAUUACAACAAAGCAAGGAGGUGAAAGGACUGCGUCUCUGCCUCUCUUUCUGACGCGCCCUUCUUCCUCUUCCUAUCGCACACGCGACGAGGGGCGGUGGGGGACUGCUCAAGCACCCUCUGCCUCCGCCGCGUUCUCCGCUGCACACACACACACACACACACACACACACACACACACACACACGGGAGCGCUUCAGCCCAAAUCUCCAGUAGAGCGAAACACGCGCAGACCAACGUCAAACAGGAAAGGAAAGGGAGCGCAGACAGUGCAUAGCCUUCACGGCGACGGUUAUGAGUGGUUACCAUCGCCGUCACAGAGCACAAGCGAAAAGCAACCAUAGAACACGGAGGGAGGCACAGAGGCGGUGCCUAGGCACGCGCGCACCGACAGCGCACGAAGGGGGACGCAUGUGUGCGUGUGUGUGUGUUUGCGCGUGCGGUGCUGCGUUUCUCCAUCGACUUCAGCAGUACCUUUCGACCUUAGACGACUUACUCCCUGCAGCGUCCCUCUGCCUCUCUCUCGCGUAUGCCUCCCAGGCGAGGCCGGGCCCCGGUGCACAACCGAAACGACGAGACGCAGCGUCUUCCUGGUGACGCGGCACUACCGUCGCUGGCGGCCGCGUCUGCACGUCGUCCACACCACCUCGUCUCUCGUCUCUAUCCCCCGUGGGGCAGUGGUGCACAUGGGAUUGCCCUUCGCACGAGUGGAGUGACUCCCAACAUCCCCACCAUCGCCAGCAAGGACGAGCCACCGGCCUCUGCCGCGACCGCUCCUGUGACGGUGGAGAACAGGACCCUGGGUGCGGAAACGCACGGCACUGCAUCCGUCCAUCCUGGCCGAGGGCGCGCUGGACUUUCCACUCGUGUCAGCGGAAGCGUCAGAAGAAAGGCGGGAUCAGCGAGGAGGACCGCACCAAGUCGAAGGGCCGGCGGUCGUCUCCCUCCAGCGGCACACAAGCGACCCCGAUCGACAUCGACUGCCUCCUUCGCGGCGCCUGUUGAGGUGGAGGAGAAGGUCGCAGGCAGCAGUGACGACGCCGAGGCCGGCGACGAUAGUGGCGUGGAAGCCGUUCACACCGGCAGUGAUGGAGAGCGACCCGCAGAGACAGCGUCGUGCACCAGCGAGAUGCCACCGGCAGUCAUGCAGCUUUCCUCCUCGUCUUCGUCCUCCCCGUCCCUAUCUCCGUCACCGAUGGUGACCGAACGCAAAGUACUGAAAGGCGGCGACGGCGGUGGAGGCGAUGCGGCGAGGCGCACCGGCUUCACUUCAUGUGGGGCGAUUACACCUGCUGAAGUCGCGUCCCAUGCCACUGAAUGCCACAGCCACCGCCUUCCUCAGGUGCAGGUCCCUUCGUCAUCGGCGAGGGCGCCGGCCACCGUCGAAGAGGUUGCUGUUUCUCCCGUGAGGCUCAGCGACACGGUUACGCCGCAGAAGCCGCCGCAGCACUACGCCGCCUCCACGGCAGACAGCAAGGUGCUCUUUGCCGAGGACGAAGACGAGGAGGGAGAGGAUGAGGGGCGGCAGCCGUGGCGUCCCAACCACCUCCGCGCGGCCAGCGGUGACCCGCAGCGGCCGGCGCGUGCUGAGGAGGUGGAGCAUGUGCUUGGAGAACUGUCGGAAUGCUCGUCGAUCACCUCUGCUCGUCCGCAAGCACCGCGACGCUCUUCGGAUACGAGCGGCAGCCACGACGACCGUGUGCCACACCCCAGAUGCGCUCCGACGGAGAGCGACAAGGAAGUGCGGUGUGGGCCGCUUGACGUGAAGUACACCGACAACACCGCCGCCAGAGGCGCCAAAGCCGUACUCGGCGGCGAGGAUGAUAAGGCGAGGCGGCAAACGUGCGCCGCGUGCACGACGCCGUCCUUAAAGCCCGCUUGUCCAGACUUGAGCGAGGGCAGCGUCACUCCGGUGGUCGAGGGUCACACAUGGGGCGCGGCAAGCGCGUCCGCGACGUUUACGGAAACGCUCGCAGUGCAAGACUUGUCUCUCCUCCCCGGCGAGAGCGGGGGUGGUGCCACCCUUGACGUUGGCGGUGUCGCGAACGGCGGCGGCUAUGUGUACACGCCAUUGCUGUCUUCGUCCACAGGUCAGCGCACGCCGUACUCGGCGAUCGCGAACGCGGGGGCGUCUGCUCGGCUGCGUGGCGACACACUUGGGGUGACAGCGCCAGAGGAAGUGCUGUUGGGCGAAGGACUUAUAUCCCCACCAGUAAAGCGGACCACGGCUACUCCACAGCAAGUGACCCACGGUGUGGAAGUGGCGGCAGAGGACGGCACUGAGACCCGUUCCGGAGCCGGAGAAACCGGAGCUGGGCCGUCUCGAGCUCACGGGAAGGCCUUGGCCAUGGAUGGCUCGAGCUCAUCAACGACGUUCUUGCCUACCCUGUCUUCCGCUACGCUGUGCGCUGUGACCGGUGGCGGCGAGGCGAGCGGCUUCGGACAGAACAUGAAUACGCCGCCAUCACACUCUUCGGCGGACGGCGCCGUCUCAAUGACGGACGAACAGCCGCCGCCGCCGCCGCCGCCGCGCGUACCUAUAACCCCGUCAUCACCGUCGCUUCCCCCUAGCUCUCUCCCCUCUACGCUUGACGACGGACUCUGGAAGGAGAGUGCAAAGUCCGCGCAGGCGGACGUGGUGGACACCGAUGCCGUGACCCCAGGCCGCUGUACCCCAAACGGGCAGGGCGCCAGUGGUGACGCUCCUGCUCCCCUUGCUCCGUCGGUCGCUGUUGCACAGCACGAGACGGUGCCGAUCGACCCAUUCCUGAGCACACCGCCACAGUUCAAGGGAGAAUCUCCUGUGGUUGAAAAGGACGCCAGCGGCGGCGGCGCGCGCGUGCGUCGUUCUCCAGAGCGCUCAGGCUGCGAAGAUGCCGGAAAAGGUGACCACUCGCCUGCUGUGUUUGGCUUUUUGACUCGCACUCCGCCCCGGUCGGCGAAGAAGUCUGCGAUGGGUUUAACAUCCACGAUUACCGGCGCGGACGUGGACAUGCGGGUUUUGAGGGUUGGCACGCAGGUGGAGGGCCGCUGGGGACGACAGUGGUUUCCGGCGGUGAUCAGCGAAGCCCCGCGGAACGGCUUUGUGCAGGUUGAGUGGGAGGAAGACGGCUCACGACUCCACUUGCGACUUCGCGAGGUGCGACUGUUGCCUGGCGCUGCAGCUGCGAAGAGGGCAGGCGCCGUGCCCGCGAUCCAUGAGGCCGAUAGGUGUGCUGCUUCAGUAGGUGGUGGGGCUGCUGCGACGGAAGGCGCGCAUGGCGUGCUGACUGCGACCCAACUUGUGGCACUCAUGGAAGAGGAGGACGCCCAGGACAGCCGAUACCAGCCGGAGCCGCCGCACGUCCGUCCCUCCGCUUCACAUAGGGAGACAUCGCCGCCCAUGACGACAUCUGUGGGCAAGCAAGUGGAUAGGAGCGGUGGGGAAGGCGGUGAGGGGGCCGAGGAGGAUGUGGUGGUGCGCCCGCUUGGUGUUAGCCGCGCGUGUGGGAGGGCUGGACGUGGUGUAUAUGCUGUGAACGCGGACGGUGACGCUCACCCGGAUCGCGCAAGCAGCGCGGCGUCCUCCGCUGGCGCCGCCACCACCCGUUCGCCGUCGCGCUCUCCUGUGCCGACGUACGCGGCACCCGGUGUGCCGCCGUGCGAGGUGCACCCCUCGUCCCUCUGUAUCUUUCUCCCACAAACGGUGCGGCGCGACCUCCUGCAGGGCGAGGGCCCUCCGCCUGCAUCGGCCUUUUCUUCUUCGUCUUUUCGCUACCACGCGGCCCCGGCGACAGAGCUGCAGCGGCGCACCGAGCUUCAGCGUAUCUUGCACUUCUUGACCAGCGCCGGGACGAUCGUGAUCGACUCCGUGGCACAGGCGGACAACAUGGCCGCCCAGCUCGGCGACAGUGGAGACGUGAAGGGAACCUCCUUCACCAGCCACUUGUCCUCGCUGGCUGCGGGCCAGCUCCACAGCGCCGACUCGUCGCCGAUGCAGGGAGAAAAGACGACGAAGGCGGUUGCCGGAAGUGGCGGAAAGCGGGGGACAGUGGGGCGCGCGUCACUGCCUCGCCGGAGCAUGGCGUCUGCCGUCGCUGCUGCUUCCCAUGCACAGCGUUCGGCACCGAGGUACUUCGUCUUUCUCGUUUCUUCUGCGACUGCUCUUGUGGGCGGCAGCGCGGAGGCGUCUGAGAAGCUGGACCAGCUGCAGGAUGUGUUGCCCGUGGUGUGCUUGGCGCAUGCAUUGGGCGUCUCAGCGAUUCACGCCUCGUGGCUGUGGGGCAUUGCCCCCGGCACCGCGCGAGUGAAGCUGCCCACGCCGGCGGACCAAGUCGAGCUGUUGCCGAGCGCUGCCCCGGAGACAUGGGGUGCGUGGAAGGCCACUCGCGCUGGCGCUCCAUCGACGAAGGCGGCGCCACUACCGCUGCGCUUCGCACCGCUUGCAGUGAAGGACCGCUGGCUCAGCGCCAAAAACGUUGCCUUUGUCGCGCGGGAUGACCGAAUGGAGAUGUGGCUCAACGCCGCCGGGGCGACCGUCACGGCAGAGUUGGCGCCGUCGCCGCCCUCUCACGUCGCUCGCCAGAGCUUGCCACGGGGCAGCAGCCGACCGUCAGCUUCCGUUGCGGGUGCUCUGCUUGGGCGCAGCCCCGGCAGCGCACUUCCGCGGUGCCAUUCCGAGUCCCCUUCACGCUCACUGCCGCUCAAGCAGCUGCGCGCGGAGCAGACGCCGGACUUCGUCUACGUACCCGAUGAUGUGACCGUGCCGCUGGACUUGGAUCGUUUGGGCAGCGUCCCAGUGCUCCAAGUCUCGUGGCUGGCUGAAGGCAUCGAGCAGCAUUACCGCCAUUGCUGCAACCCAACCUCGUCAGCGGAGCCGGUGCUGCCAAAACCGCCGUCGCUGACCUCCGUGUGGCGGACAAUUCUUCAUGCGAAGCCUCCGAAGGGAAGCCACACAAGACGUUCCAACACGCCAUCCCAGCCAGACCGUGCGCAAUCUUCUCCGUCAUCUCCGUCGCCGAGGCCGGCGGUGAACGAUGAGGAGAAGCGCAGCGUCUCAGAAGGCGCGCGUAGCCGCAAGGCAGCCGCAGCGUCUACCCUCGGGAACGAGAGGGACCGCCUGAGUCACCACGGCAGUGACGUGGUGCAUCCGGCGUCGGUGCCCCCGCUUGCAAACGACAGGAGCGAGAGUGGUGAUGGUGUGGCUCCAUCUGCCUUCCCGCCAAGCGCGAAGGGCGGCGACAUGGAUGAAGGUGUCGGUGACACUGUUGGCGCGCUAAGGGGGAGCCUCAACGAGGAGGAGGACGCGCUGACGAUGCGCAUCAGCGGCGGUGAUGCGCAGGAGCCGCUUCCGCGUGAGGCGGAGGAUUUUGUCAGCGCAAGGGGGCCCGAAGGCGCUGCUGCGGAGCGUGGCAGCGCAGAAGCGGAGAAGGAUGUCAUGCUAAGGCUGGCCGGUGCCACCGGAGCGACUGCGGAAGCUCUGUCAGAUGCAGUGGUCUCUACUGAGCCCUCUGCGUGCACCUUUCAUCCGGCCAUCGUCAUUGGGGAGGACUAUUACUUCACGCUGUCCGCGCCACAACCUCCACCUCCUCCAUCGUUGUCCCCGCAUGGCCCGUCACACCCCCACGUCCCCCCUCCUGCGCUGCCGACGGCGACAAUUGUGCUGGGCCAAGUCGUGGACUUGCAAGUUGUCGCGCCGCCGUCGCCGCUGCUGCGCCAGCACCUCUGUACGGACGGCGCCGCUUCAUCGUUGACCUUCUCACAACCGCAGUGUCGGUGCCGCGUGACGCUGCAGCUGUACGAGCCCAAGUACAUCUCCAUGCAUAUUGACCCCCGCUCUGGAGAGGUGGUGCACCAGACCACUGUUUAUCUUGUCCGGCGCUGGGCCACUGUCCCGGGCACGUCGCUGCUCUUCGACACACCCGUAUACGUGAUCACCACGGCCGCACGGUCGCACGUCUACUUUUUGGAAGAGGUAGAGGACGAGGUGACGGCGCGAGGCGUGAGCGAUGGCGCGCACCAAUCCCGUCUGCGGCAACAGUCGGUCUGCGGCGCCGUCUCGACGCCGCCGGCCUCAGACUUAUUCCAUGGUGCGGCCAGGGCGACGACGGACGGCACCCUCUCUCCGCAUUUCCAUGGUCGGCGCUCCCUGUCGAAGGUAGCCAUGACAUCUUCAUCGCCAGUUCCGACGUGCCCGAUAACCAGGGGGUGUCCCCCGACACCGCAGGCACCGUUCUCUCUCACUCAGAGCGUCGCGAACGGGCGCCCUCGCCGAGACGCACUUGCUCCGUCGAGGACAUCUGAGGGAGCGGCGCGGGACGGUAGCGGUGGCGGCGUUGACGAGCGACGACGUCCCGAUUGAGCUUUACACGCGGCCAAGGCGAUGCAGAUAACCCCCAGGGGCGAUGCUUAGAGAUCGCCGGAGAGAGAGGUGUCAGCGCGCAGAGGGCGAUCGGCGGGCGGAGCGCGAGCGCGUCAGAGCGGCGAGCCAGUGCGGCUGCCUCCAAAUCCCCCGAGGUUGACACGAAUAACGGUGCUCGACAGGAAUGAGCAAGUAUCGCUACCUCCGACCUUCGAUCUGGCGGUGCUGGACCUGUUAACCGCCGUCGACGGCACGCCUUCCUCGGUGAAGGCUCGCCCAGCACGGCAGUCGCGGCAGCAAUAGGUGUUACUGGGCAAACUACCCUCGGCCUCCGCACGCCUUCUCGCCGAGCUGUCACCUACACCUCGGUGGCAAUACAGAGGCGCUUCGCCCCAACAGCCACAUCUCCUCCUCUUCACGCAGCGCGCUUUAACUCUCCAAGGGUCAUUCAGGGUGCCGGUCACUUGCGCCAGGGAGCGAUGACGGCCUUUUCUCGUGCCGGCACCGUUCUUCUUUGUUGCUGGUGUUGAUUCACCACUGGAAUGUCGUUCUCGCCGCGGCUUUCGAGGCCCUCUUCCAUCCGUGUCGUGUACUGACACGACCGCGCGUGCGUUGCGCUGCCGCUUCAAUGCGCCUUUGGCAUCGCCCUUUUUGUCACCAGUCCUCCUUGACGUGAUUACGCUUGUCCUAAUACGUUGGGGUAAUACCCUCCUGCCCUCCCUUCCUCAUCCUUCCUCGGAAACCUCUUCUCUGUCUUCCCUCUAUCUCGCAUGCUGUGUUACGUGCUGUGCCUCUCGCCUCGGUAUUCCGGCACAACACCGCCACAUGCAUGUGCUCGUGCGCCGGUGUGCGACCUCGACGAUAACUUGUCGGUCUCUCCAG
RNAcentral lists this unclassified non-coding RNA (7265 nucleotides) under Leishmania donovani. RNAcentral describes it as "gene:LdHU3.30.1760(CDS-product:hypothetical_prote in_conserved)". The record is from RNAcentral. Lineage: Eukaryota; Euglenozoa; Kinetoplastea; Trypanosomatida; Trypanosomatidae.